GAACGCAAGAACCUUACCUACUCUUGACAUCCAGAGAACUUAGCAGAGAUGCUUUGGUGCCUUCGGGAACUCUGAGACAGGUGCUGCAUGGCUGUCGUCAGCUCGUGUUGUGAAAUGUUGGGUUAAGUCCCGCAACGAGCGCAACCCUUAUCCUUUGUUGCCAGCGAUUCGGUCGGGAACUCAAAGGAGACUGCCAGUGAUAAACUGGAGGAAGGUGGGGAUGACGUCAAGUCAUCAUGGCCCUUACGAGUAGGGCUACACACGUGCUACAAUGGCGUAUACAAAGAGAAGCGACCUCGCGAGAGCAAGCGGACCUCAUAAAGUACGUCGUAGUCCGGAUUGGAGUCUGCAACUCGACUCCAUGAAGUCGGAAUCGCUAGUAAUCGUAGAUCAGAAUGCUACGGUGAAUACGUUCCCGGGUCUUGUACACACCG
RNAcentral lists this ribosomal RNA (434 nucleotides) under uncultured Klebsiella sp. Its description in RNAcentral is "bacterial SSU rRNA". It matches the Rfam family "Bacterial small subunit ribosomal RNA", at positions 957 to 1392 of the family's 1533-position model. Lineage: Bacteria; Pseudomonadati; Pseudomonadota; Gammaproteobacteria; Enterobacterales; Enterobacteriaceae. The record is from RNAcentral.